UUCCUCCGCCUCGCGCGCAUUGCCCUCUAUCUUGUGUUGGGGCUCAAAUCUUCUCCUAUGCUCGUCUGCUUAUUGAUCGAAUCCGUGCUCGCUUGCUCAGAUCUUCUCCGUUAAGGUUCGGCUGAGCAAUACCAGGAGUGUCGGCCACUUGAUAGUGUUGAAGUCCCAGGUCGCGGUAUCCAUUUUAGAGAAGCGGGUAAACCAAGCGGAUCGGUUUCAUUUUAAGGUGUAAGGAUUUACUAUGGAUUCUGAAGACGCGAAAAGUGCAAGAGAAUCGCUGGACCUUGCAUUUCACAUGGCGAAUAUACUUGACACAGGUCUGGACCGUCACACACUCUCUCUUCUUAUUGCUCUUUGUGACCUGGGUGUCAACCCGGAGGCCCUUGGGGCUGUUGUCAAGGAACUGAGUGGAGAAGUGGCCAAGAAGAAAUAACAGUUGACAGAAACCCCCAUCUUCAUCUUUUUGGCUGCUCGCAGCUCCAUCACCUGCGUCCUAAAUGGAUUCCCCUUUUUAGUUGUGCCUGCGUGAGUUUUUUUUUUUUUGCGAAUCAUGCCUGCUUGACUUCUUGAGACCAGCCAUACUGUAUGUUUUCUAGUGUGGAUUAUUGAAAUUUUGCACAUCCAUUGGUGGUUC
Neltuma alba is the source of this 634-nucleotide long non-coding RNA. RefSeq lists it as uncharacterized. Lineage: Eukaryota; Viridiplantae; Streptophyta; Magnoliopsida; Fabales; Fabaceae. The transcript is spliced from 2 exons. The record is from RefSeq and is a predicted model, not a curated record.